RNAcentral lists this ribosomal RNA (253 nucleotides) under uncultured bacterium. RNAcentral describes it as "partial 16S ribosomal RNA". It matches the Rfam family "Bacterial small subunit ribosomal RNA", at positions 524 to 776 of the family's 1533-position model. The record is from RNAcentral.
AACGUAGGAGACAAACGUUAUCCGGAGUUACUGGGCGUAAAGGGCGUGCAGGUGGUCUGUUAAGUCUGGCGUGAAAGCUCCUGGCUAAACCGGGAGAGGUCGUUGGAUACUGGCGGACUAGAGGACGGUAGGGGCGUGUGGAAUUCCGGGUGUAGUGGUGAAAUGCGUAGAGAUCCGGAGGAACACCAGUGGCGAAGGCGACACGCUGGGCCGUACCUGACACUGAUACGCGACAGCAUGGGGAGCGAACGGG